UACGUAGGGGGCGAGCGUUAUCCGGAUUUACUGGGUGUAAAGGGAGCGCAGGCGGCAGGGCAAGUCAGAUGUGAAAUACCGGGGCCCAACCCCGGGACUGCAUUUGAAACUGUCCGGCUGGAGUGCAGGAGAGGCAGGCGGAAUUCCUAGUGUAGCGGUGAAAUGCGUAGAUAUUAGGAGGAACACCAGUGGCGAAGGCGGCCUGCUGGACUGUAACUGACGCUGAGGCUCGAAAGCGUGGGGAGCAAACAGG
RNAcentral lists this ribosomal RNA (253 nucleotides) under uncultured bacterium. Its description in RNAcentral is "partial 16S ribosomal RNA". It matches the Rfam family "Bacterial small subunit ribosomal RNA", at positions 524 to 776 of the family's 1533-position model. The record is from RNAcentral.